This 465-nucleotide ribosomal RNA is filed under the name Vreelandella stevensii. RNAcentral describes it as "partial 16S ribosomal RNA". It matches the Rfam family "Bacterial small subunit ribosomal RNA", at positions 338 to 795 of the family's 1533-position model. Lineage: Bacteria; Pseudomonadati; Pseudomonadota; Gammaproteobacteria; Oceanospirillales; Halomonadaceae. The record is from RNAcentral.
CCUACGGGGUGCUGCAGUGGGGAAUAUUGGACAAUGGGGGGAACCCUGAUCCAGCCAUGCCGCGUGUGUGAAGAAGGCCCUCGGGUUGUAAAGCACUUUCAGUGAGGAAGAACGCCUGGUGGUUAAUACCCAUCAGGAAAGACAUCACUCACAGAAGAAGCACCGGCUAACUCCGUGCCAGCAGCCGCGGUAAUACGGAGGGUGCGAGCGUUAAUCGGAAUUACUGGGCGUAAAGCGCGCGUAGGUGGCUUGAUAAGCCGGUUGUGAAAGCCCCGGGCUCAACCUGGGAACGGCAUCCGGAACUGUCAAGCUAGAGUGCAGGAGAGGAAGGUAGAAUUCCCGGUGUAGCGGUGAAAUGCGUAGAGAUCGGGAGGAAUACCAGUGGCGAAGGCGGCCUUCUGGACUGACACUGACACUGAGGUGCGAAAGCGUGGGUAGCAAACAGGAUUAGAUACCCCAGUAGUA